GGAGGAGGCGGCGGCGGCAGCGCCAGAGACGCACAAAAAUGGAGAGGCAAAAUUGGAAAGGCUGGAGUGAUCUACUACAGGACAGACCUAGAAGAAAAAGCAACUGAACACAACAUUUUGUCAAAGGAACCAGCCCAAACUGUUCCUUUAAAAAAGCCCAACAAUUUUGGUGGUUUCCUCAACAACUUUUGAGGUGUCCUGGUUUUUACUUUUUGAAAUAUCGUAUGGUAUCAGCUGUGCCAACAAUGCCUUCCUAGUGUCUGUAUAGGACAAAUAAGCAAGGACCCACAGUUAAGAAUAAAUGGGCACAAUGCUUACAUUUUUUUUUAAGGCCACAUAAGCUAGUGGGAAGAUAUUUCAUUUUCUCAGGACACACGGCUGCCGACCUGAAAGUCACCAGCAUUUAACAACAGCAAAAACUUUUACGAGGACUCCAGUGUGAAAUUGCUGGAUUAGAAUUUAUGAGUACAGUAAGUUUAAUCCUAUGUAUUCAGAUCAGGAAUUUCUGUCUCGUGGUCUCUUGUAUUUCAUGACCUUUUGGCCCAGUUGUUCACAAUUGUUUUCUCUAUAGACAUAUAUGUGAAUAUAUGUUUGAUGAACUGGGCUCUAGUUCACCAAGUCUUAUGCUGCAAUAAAUUGGAGUCUCUUCAAGGUGCCACAA
Long non-coding RNA from Podarcis raffonei (Aeolian wall lizard), 661 nucleotides. RefSeq lists it as uncharacterized. The record is from RefSeq and is a predicted model, not a curated record. Lineage: Eukaryota; Metazoa; Chordata; Lepidosauria; Squamata; Lacertidae. The transcript has 2 exons.